Molecule: transfer RNA, 75 nt
Filed under: Actinomycetota bacterium
Lineage: Bacteria; Bacillati; Actinomycetota
Description: tRNA-Ile
Source: RNAcentral
AGGGCAUCAGCCAGACAGUGACGAGACGCGCUGAUACCGCGGCAGCACGUGGUUCGACUCCACGAUGCCCUACCA